Papaver somniferum (opium poppy) is the source of this 2766-nucleotide long non-coding RNA. RefSeq lists it as uncharacterized. NCBI's taxonomy places the organism in Eukaryota, Viridiplantae, Streptophyta, Magnoliopsida, Ranunculales, Papaveraceae. The transcript is spliced from 8 exons. The record is from RefSeq and is a predicted model, not a curated record.
UCUCGUUCUCUUCUCUCAUGUCUGAAAUUCGGACGAUUUGGUUGUCUCAGAGAUCUCAAAUUCCAAAUCAAGCCGACCAAUUCAUUUUCCAACUUAGGGUUGUUAGGUUUACGUAUAAAAGUUGUUUUAGGGUUCAGUUUCUCUUCUCUAGUCUCUAAAUCUGCAGAAAGAAGAAGAAAAUCCCUAAACUUGUCAUUUUUAUAAGAAAAUGCUAACAGAACUAGGGAUUUUGAUUUGGGAGAUCUUUCCUCGUCAAAGAGUUUGCAAUUGGAAAUCAGAUGGCUCCGAUCUGUAAAGAACCUAACAAUUUCUACAACAUUAACUCCUUCAAACACUCUGAUAGCUGAUGCUCUUUAUUAUAACGCACCUUUGACAUUCAGUGUGCUGCAUAAGCUUGGAGUAACCACAGAAGUAUUUAAUAUGUGGUUCCAGGUGUUGCAAGAAGUCAAAAAGAGUGGUAUGCAGGAAAACUUUAAAAGAGUGGUUCCAGGGUUUUUACAGCAACUCUUGUUCUCCUGGUUGCCUAUAAGGAUCAAGUAGCAGAAGCAGCAAAGGAAGAGGAAAAUGUUGAUUAUGAUGACAUGAAGGGGGGUUUCAAACUGAUGAUGAUGAAGAAGAUGAAGAUGGAUCCGACAGGGAUAUGGGAGUUGAAGCUGAGGAUGGUGAUGAAGCUGACAGUCUUAAGCUCCAAAUUAAUGUUAGCUGCUCAGGCAAGAUCAUUUCGCCCUGCUGAUGAGGAUGACGAGGACUCAGAUGAUGAUUACAGAGAUGAUGAAGAGUUACAAUCACCAAUUGAUGAUGUUGAUCCUUUCAUUUUCUUCAUUUAUACGCACAGUCGAAGUUCAACAAGCCCCGGAUCCUGCAAGAUUCCAGAGCUUUACGCAAGCACUUGACUUCCCUCAUCAGGCCUUGGCUAGUGGCUUAGCUCAGCAUCCCAAACAAAGGAGAAUAGAAAUAGAAAAAAAGAAGAUGGAGAAGGCAGCAGCAGGGAGUCCAGGGACCAACGCUAUCUUGUGUUUGUCAUUUUACAUUUGGAUGAGAGAUGAUUGGGAUGUCUGUGCGCAAUAUAAAGAGCAACUUGAAGCAAAACAGAUACACAAACAAGAUUCUAUGAUGGUUGUGGGUAAAUUUUUUAUGUUUUCAUUGAAAAACAAUGCAAGGGAAUCAUUGGUUUGCUAGUGAACAAAACUAACGACUCUAUGAAGAUGCAAUUUUUAAUAUCUGUCACAUGAAAGCUUUAUAGGUAGAGGAGGAGCAAAAGGAAUAAGAGUAUGAUGAUGAUGAGGCGCCUGAGAUAACAACAAUAUGUAUUGUGGUGCUGAAUACUAAGUUUCCAGGAUGUGUUUGACAUUAGGCAAUUUAUCCUGUUGGUACAUCAUAGGUACUCGGAGGUCACAUGGACCAUGUACUGAACUGACUAAAUGCAUAUUUCGCUAUAUAUCUCUAUCAAUAUGUUUGUCAUAUGUUGGUUAUGUUUAUUGGACAUGCUGAUCUUUUAACUGGAUGCUAAUGGGUCUAGGUUUCUAAAUUCAGAUUAGGUGCCACCACAUUAAUGGAACUGAUGAUAGCUGCUAGCAAUGAAGUUCCACAACUGAAACUGGAAAAUGGACUGGUUGUUGACAAAGUGUAUACGGGAACAUGCUCCGUGUUCAUUGAUGCAUUACGUGGCUUAUGAUCUAUAUCAUGGAAAUUUACAGAUGUUUAGAGGUGCAAUGAAUAUUCUUGACGAGGAUAUAUGGCAUAAUGUUGGAUGCGCUAGUUCCCUCAUCAACUGUUCUUCAUGAGGAGAUCUCUUGUUCUUAAUGUGUUUCCUUAUAACUUUUCCUAUUUGAUUUCACUGAUGCAACUCUUUCUAUCUCAGGUUGCCUGUGGUUUAGCUGAUAAAGCAAAGGACCCCAUUGUGGACAUAGUUGAAGGAGAUGUUGAUAAUCAGUCAGAUGUCCUGCAGUACGUCAAAGAAUUGUAAAAAAACAAAAAGAGAGUAAGUAUCAUAGUUAAAGGACUGGAGUCCUCUAUAACUUGUGUGAAUGGUUGAUUUGUUGUAGAUAUUGAGCGGCUUCACUGAAAGGCGUGUGAUAUCUAGCACAUUUCUCUUGUUGAUUCCUCCAGUAGAAAUGACUUACAAACCAUGGUGACAACUUAAACUUCAACCUUCGGGAAUGCCUCAUGCAGCAGGAAUACAAUAACUUGCAAAAUACAAAGGAUCUGAGUGGUUUGUUGCUUAUAUACUCUUCACUUGGGGAUGCUGAAGGAAUACAAGAACUUGCAUCUCUUGCCAAAGAACAGCAACCGGAUUCCUGAAGCUGCUUUGGUUGCGGUCUUAUCAUACAAACAAGGUCUCACAGAUAUGAGGAAUAAGUGCCACUACUUACAAGGCUGUUUAUGAAGCAACACAAAGCUAUACUUGUUUGAGCAUGUAGGUAAUGUAUCUAUCACUGCUAUUGCACUUAACAUUACAACUGCAGAAUUUGUAUGUUCUGAAAACUUAAGAAAUAUUUAUAUACUUGUCAUUCUUUUGAUAUUACACACAGAGUUUGUAUGUCCUUGGAACUUAAGAAAAAUUUCUGGCUAUAGCGUGAAACUUAAGAGAUUUAUAUCAAGCUGUUGUUCUUUGUCAUUCUUUUUCAGAGGUAUACAUAAGAACUCUUUAGUUUAUGAUUUCACGAAUUGCCUAAGUUUAAUGAUGGGGUUAGUGUUUAUAAUUCAAUGUAAGUGACCAUGUGUUUCCUAAGUUAUGUCUCUUAGAAGCUUAUGGUUGUAUGCUUU